RNAcentral lists this ribosomal RNA (283 nucleotides) under uncultured Staphylococcus sp. RNAcentral describes it as "partial 16S ribosomal RNA". It matches the Rfam family "Bacterial small subunit ribosomal RNA", at positions 83 to 355 of the family's 1533-position model. Lineage: Bacteria; Bacillati; Bacillota; Bacilli; Caryophanales; Staphylococcaceae. The record is from RNAcentral.
CCUUUGACGUUAGCGGCGGACGGGUGGAGUAACACGUGGGUAACCUACCUAUAAGACUGGGAGUAACUUUCGGGAAACCGGAAGCUAAUACCGGAUAAUAUUUCGAACCGCAUGGUUCGAUAGUGAAAGAUGGUUUUGCUAUCACUUAUAGAUGGACCCGCGCCGUAUUAGCUAGUUGGUAAGGUAACGGCUUACCAAGGCGACGAUACGUAGCCGACCUGAGAGGGUGAUCGGCCACACUGGAACUGAGACACGGUCCAGACUCCUACGGGAGGCAGCAGCC